CGGCGUGGAUUAGGCAUGCAAGUCGAACGGGAUCCGGAGCUAUAGCAAUAUAAUUCCGGUGAUAGUGGCGAAAGGGUGAGUAACGCGUGGGUAAGCUACCUCGAAGUUGGGGACAACCAGAUGAAAAUCUGGCUAAUACCGGAUGUGGUCUUCUGGCGCAUGUCAGAAUGACUAAAGGCGGGGAUCCUUUGGACCUGUCGCUUUGAGAGGCGCCCGCGUGCCAUCAGCUAGUUGGUAGGGUAACGGCCUACCAAGGCUUACGGCUAGCCGGCCUGAGAGGGUGACCGGCCACACUGGGACUGAGACACUGCCCAGACUCCUACGGGAGGCUGCAGUCGAGGAUCAUUCGCAAUGCGCGAAAGCGUGACGAUGCGACGCUGCGUGGAGGAUGAAGGCCUUCGGGUUGUAAACUCCUGUCAUGAGGGAAAAGCCGUCCCGCCCCUAACACGGGCGGGGCCCGAUGGUACCUCAAGAGGAAGCCACGGCUAACUCUGUGCCAGCAGCCGCGGUAAUACAGAGGUGGCGAGCGUUGUUCGGAUUUACUGGGCGUAAAGGGUGCGUAGGUGGUUUCGUACGUCGGAUGUGAAAGCCCAUGGCUCAACCGUGGAAUUGCAUUUGAAACUGCGAAACUAGAGUGCAGGAUGGGGGGAGCGGAAUUCUUGGUGUAGCGGUGAAAUGCGUUGAUAUCAA
This 690-nucleotide ribosomal RNA is filed under the name uncultured organism. Its description in RNAcentral is "bacterial SSU rRNA". It matches the Rfam family "Bacterial small subunit ribosomal RNA", at positions 40 to 700 of the family's 1533-position model. The record is from RNAcentral.